This 481-nucleotide ribosomal RNA is filed under the name uncultured bacterium. RNAcentral describes it as "bacterial SSU rRNA". It matches the Rfam family "Bacterial small subunit ribosomal RNA", at positions 501 to 985 of the family's 1533-position model. The record is from RNAcentral.
CUACGUGCCAGCAGCCGCGGUAAUACGGAAGGUCCGGGCGUUAUCCGGAUUUAUUGGGUUUAAAGGGAGCGUAGGCCGGAGAUUAAGUGUGUUGUGAAAUGUAGACGCUCAACGUCUGACUUGCAGCGCAUACUGGUUUCCUUGAGUACGCACAACGUUGGCGGAAUUCGUCGUGUAGCGGUGAAAUGCUUAGAUAUGACGAAGAACUCCGAUUGCGAAGGCAGCUGACGGGAGCGCAACUGACGCUGAAGCUCGAAGGUGCGGGUAUCGAACAGGAUUAGAUAUCCUGGUAGUCCGCACAGUAAACGAUGGAUGCCCGCUGUUGGUACGUGGUAUCAGCGGCUAAGCGAAAGCAUUAAGCAUCCCACCUGGGGAGUACGCCGGCAACGGUGAAACUCAAAGGAAUUGACGGGGGCCCGCACAAGCGGAGGAACAUGUGGUUUAAUUCGAUGAUACGCGAGGAACCUUACCCGGGCUUGAA